Molecule: long non-coding RNA, 931 nt
Organism: Triticum dicoccoides
Lineage: Eukaryota; Viridiplantae; Streptophyta; Magnoliopsida; Poales; Poaceae
Exons: 3
Source: RefSeq, a predicted model, not a curated record
UCUAAAGAGGAGGGCAAGUUACCACACUGUUCACUGGUGACUAGCCCACAGCAAGUCACCGGAUCUCAUUCCCCCAAAUCCCGCUUCCCACCUCCACACGCAGCCACGGCUCCACCUCCGCCGCCGGCCACGGCUCCACCUCACCAUUCCUCCCCUACCUCCGGCCACUUCUUCCCCACCCCCCCUCAGCCUCCACCGACCCUUUGACCAAGCCGCCCCCUCCCGCCACCGUCCGACAGCCGCUACUCCACCUCCACCGCCGGUCACGACCCUACUUCACUGCCUCCAUUGCCGGCCAGCACUUCACCUCCACCCCCCUUCCGCAUCCGAUCUAGAUACGUCUCCCCUCCCCCCUUUCCCUCCGCCUCCACCAAACCCUAGACCAACCACAAGCAGUCGCUGCCACCACUUGUCCCCGCUUCAAGUAUCUCUCCGGCACCACACAGUCGCUGCUUCAAGGGUAGUGAAGACACGUCGAGGACGCGCAAGAUGAUGAUUGCCUCAUCCAUCAUGAUGACAACACCUCUAUGGCCAAUGGAAGUGGUCACGUUGCCCAGCCUGAUGAGAACAACCAUAUGGUUUAUGAGAAAGAAGAUGAUGACCUCGUCCAUCGUGAUGACAACACCUCUAUGGCCAAUGAAAGUGAUCUCGUUGCCCAGCCUGAUGAGCACAACCAGAUGGUGAAUGAGGAAGGUGAUGACAACCAGUUCUUCAAUUGCUAUUUUUGACUUUAAUCUACAUUUGAUAAUGACAUGAAAUUCUAGAAUCUGAAUUCAGUAAUUCAAUCAUAUAUGCUUAAUCUAAAUCCUAAUUUCAGACCCCGUUGAUUGCAUCUUGCAUGUAGAUUAUGAAUUUAGCAAUUCUAUCAUGUAUGCUUAAUUUUGUGAACAUUUGUUCUUGAUAUCCUUCAAAGUCAUGGUUAUGGCUGGAC